This 1183-nucleotide ribosomal RNA is filed under the name Homidia koreana. Its description in RNAcentral is "16S ribosomal RNA". The stretch from base 765 to 1183 matches the Rfam family "Bacterial large subunit ribosomal RNA", at positions 2046 to 2711 of the family's 2925-position model. Lineage: Eukaryota; Metazoa; Arthropoda; Collembola; Entomobryomorpha; Entomobryidae. The record is from RNAcentral.
AUUUUUUUAUGGGUUUAAAAUUUAAGUGAAUUAUAUUUUAGUUUGAAACAAAACUUAUUUAAAUUUAAAUAACUGGGGGGGAACAGUGAAAUAAGUUUAAAUAAGUUUUAUUAAACUAAAUAAGUAUGUACUUUUUGUAUUAUGGUUACUUAAAUUAAUUAAUGAUUUUUGUUUUCCCGAGGGUUAAAGAUUUUAGUUUAAUUUAAGUGAUUGUGGAAUUAAUCAGUUUAAAUAAAACUCAGCACUGAGAGGGUUACGGUUUAAUUAGUAUCUGGUUACUUAAGAAAAUAAAAGUUAGCGUUUUACUGGUUAAAAUUAAUUUUAACAACGUUAAAUUACUUAGGGAUGAGCUUGAGUAUUAAUAACUUACAAUUAGUUUAUUAUGUGCUUUCGGUUAGAGGCUUGAAAAAAGCUUUUAGUUAGUUAUAUUUUAUGAUCGUUGAAAAAGGAUUUUUUUUAUAUUUAAUAAUUUUAAGUUGAAACUAAUUUAUUUGUUUUAUUGAAAAUAAUGAGUUAAUUAUUAGGAAUUAAGUAGAUUUAUUUUUUUAAGAGAAUGGCUUCAUUAACUCUACAUAAUUUUUAGGAUUGUUUAUCAAAAACAUUUCUUUUUGUUCAUUUACAAAGUAAGACCUGCCCACUGAAAAUUGAAGGGCCGCGGUAUUUUGACCGUGCUAAGGUAGCAUAAUCAUUAGUCUCUUAAUUAGGGAAUGGAAUGAAUGGUUUAACUUAAAAAUUUUUUAUUAGGCUGUAAAGUUUGAAUUUUAAUUAUGACUGAAAAUGUUCAUUUAGAACUAAAAGACGAUAAGACCCUAUAGAGCUUAAUAUCUUUUUCCGAUCUUACUUUGGGGGGAAAGUAAGAUCGGAAAAAGAUAUUUAGUUGGGGCAACAUUAGAACAAAAAAAACUUCUGACUACUUAAAAAAAUCUUUAAUUUAAAAAUUUAAAUAGUUACCUUAGGGAUAACAGCGUUAUAAUUUUUAAGAGUCCAAAUCGACAGAAUUGUUUGCGACCUCGAUGUUGAAUUAAAAAAUCUUUCUGGGGCAGAACUUUUAGAAGACGGUCUGUUCGACCAAUAAAUUUUUACAUGAUUUGAGUUCAAACCGGUGUGAGCCAGGUUGGUUUCUAUCUUUGGUUUAAGGAAAAAUUUUUUCUAGUACGCAAGGACCGUUAAGAGGAAUUAGUUU